RNAcentral lists this unclassified non-coding RNA (208 nucleotides) under Glomeraceae sp. Its description in RNAcentral is "partial contains 5.8S ribosomal RNA and internal transcribed spacer 2". The stretch from base 1 to 71 matches the Rfam family "5.8S ribosomal RNA", at positions 84 to 154 of the family's 154-position model. Lineage: Eukaryota; Fungi; Glomeromycota; Glomeromycetes; Glomerales; Glomeraceae. The record is from RNAcentral.
GUGAAUCAUCGAAUCUUUGGACGCAAAUUGCACUCUCUGGUAUUCCGGAGAGUAUGCCUGUUUGAGGGUCAGUUUAAAUAAAAAUCGGUGUGUUUGCUGCCUUUCUUGGUGACGCACCGGAUUUGGGUCGUCUUGCCUUCGGUUAAGUGACCUAAAAUUUUUAUUGUUUUUUUCCAAAGUUUUUUAAUUGAUUUUAGUACGUUUUCGA